This is a long non-coding RNA of Canis lupus familiaris (dog), 1264 nucleotides long. RefSeq lists it as uncharacterized. The record is from RefSeq and is a predicted model, not a curated record. Lineage: Eukaryota; Metazoa; Chordata; Mammalia; Carnivora; Canidae. The transcript is spliced from 6 exons.
AUAAAUAAAAUCUUUUAAGAUAUAGUAAAGUAAAAAAUAAAAUAAAAUGCAAACAGGUCACCAGGAGGGAUUCCCAAGAAACCUGGCUUUGUGUAUCAGACCUGCAAUAGUCAGCAGCCUUACCCAACGAGGGCAGAGGCCUGGGCCUGUUUUAAUCGGGGAGCCAGGUCUAGGUGGGGCGCGGGCAGCACAGGGACCACGCAUGGCAGAGAGCCGAAGGUCACAGAUGGAGGACAAGCUUCUGGAUUUGCCCGUGGCUGCUCGGCCAACACCAACUUGUUCCUGCUUGUUCUUGAAAGACUUUUCCCUGGCACUGGCCGAGCAGAAGCGAGGCCGCGGCUUGUGCAGCUGGGAACCAUUUGUCAACAUUAAGAAAGUCGGAGGCUAACACGCCAGCAAGAACUGGAGCUGGUCCAGGAGAGAGUUCACAUUGGGAAAAAAAAAAAAAAAAAAACCCUCAGCUCAGUGAGCAACCGAUGGUAGCCGGUCAUCCCAGUUGGGAGUAGCCGCUCCUGGGCUGCGGGAGCCCGAAUGCCAGGCUUCAGUGACUGAGGUCACCUCCCCCGUGCCCUCAACUGUAGCCGUGUUGACAUUUCUGGACUUCGCACUGUUCCCUAGAUUGUUCUCCUCUCCCAUCUCCCCGGAGGCUCGGGCCAGCUGUUUUGACACAAGUCUGGCAGGGAAAAAAAUCGUGGAAGAGUCCAAUAAACCAUCUCAUUUCCUCGAGCUAAGAAAGCCUUCGGCUAUUGGUGCAAAAAGCAAAAGGCACAGUUUAUCACCCUUCACUGUGGAAAGCACACCGACAAGUGGUUCCUCUUGCUAAGUUGGCCUCUACCUUUGGGAAAAAUAGCAGAUAGGGGAGGAAAUAUUCUAAUUCUCCCAGCAGCCGUCAGCCCUGGUGCUACCUGGGUUGAAACAGAAUUUCCCCCUUGAUGGACCAUGGAAGUGGCAGGACAGUUACCUGCAAAACUCCUCACCAGCUUGAUAAAAUCACUUAAAAAGACUUUUUCAGGUGAUACUUUCAACAAGUUUUAUUAUGAGUGUCCCCAGCUAAUUGCAAGCAAAGAAUCCCAAAAGGUGACAACAUAACUUGAAAUGAAACAGAAAUGUUUUCUUUCACCCCCAUUUGAAAAUUCUAGUGUGAAGAUGUCUUUUCCAGUUAUAGUUAUCUAAGUCACCCAUGAUCAAAACAUCAAAGCAAAAAGAAUAAUGACGGCAAAAUAAAAUCACAAUGGAAGUCCAUAAAAUAACCUUUCAAAAUAAA